RNAcentral lists this ribosomal RNA (254 nucleotides) under uncultured bacterium. Its description in RNAcentral is "partial 16S ribosomal RNA". It matches the Rfam family "Bacterial small subunit ribosomal RNA", at positions 524 to 776 of the family's 1533-position model. The record is from RNAcentral.
UACGGGGGGAGCAAGCGUUGUUCGGAUUUACUGGGCGUAAAGGGCGCGUAGGCGGUCAGCACAAGUCAGUUGUGAAAUCUCCGGGCUUAACUCGGAAAGGUCAACUGAUACUGUGCGACUAGAGUGCGGAAGGGGCAACUGGAAUUCUCGGUGUAGCGGUGAAAUGCGUAGAUAUCGAGAGGAACACCUGCGGCGAAGGCGGGUUGCUGGGCCGACACUGACGCUGAUGCGCGAAAGUGUGGGGAUCAAACAGG